This 465-nucleotide ribosomal RNA is filed under the name uncultured bacterium. RNAcentral's name for it is "bacterial SSU rRNA". It matches the Rfam family "Bacterial small subunit ribosomal RNA", at positions 338 to 795 of the family's 1533-position model. The record is from RNAcentral.
CCUANGGGAGGCAGCAGUGGGGAAUUUUGGACAAUGGGCGCAAGCCUGAUCCAGCCAUGCCGCGUGUGUGAAGAAGGCCUUCGGGUUUUAAAGCACUUUCGGCCGGAACGAAAUCGCCUUUGUGAAUAGCGAAGGUGGAUGACGGUACCGGAAGAAGAAGCACCGGCUAACUACGUGCCAGCAGCCGCGGUAAUACGUAGGGUGCGAGCGUUAAUCGGAAUUACUGGGCGUAAAGGGUGCGCAGGCGGCCCCGCAAGUCAGGCGUGAAAUCCCCGGGCUUAACCUGGGAAUGGCGCUUGAAACUACGGGGCUGGAGUAUGGCAGAGGGAGGUGGAAUUCCACGUGUAGCGGUGAAAUGCGUAGAUAUCAGGAGGAACACCGGUGGCGAAAGCGGCUCACUGGCCCGAAUCUGACACUGAGGUGCGAAAGCUAGGGUAGCAAACGGGAUUAGAUACCCGGNUANUC